GGGUCAGUAGGUUGGUCGUGCCACCGGUACGUACUGGUCUCACUGAUUCCUCCUUCCUGAAGAACCGUAAUGCCAUUAAUUUGGUGUUGCGGGGAAACAGGACUGUUACUUUGAAAAUAUUAGAGUGUUUAAAGCAAGCUAACGCUUGAAUACAUAAGCAUGGAAUUAUGAAAUAGGACGAUCGAUCCUAUUUUGUUGGUUUCUAGGAUUGAAGUA
RNAcentral lists this ribosomal RNA (216 nucleotides) under Glomeromycotina sp. RNAcentral describes it as "partial small subunit ribosomal RNA". The stretch from base 40 to 216 matches the Rfam family "Eukaryotic small subunit ribosomal RNA", at positions 686 to 864 of the family's 1831-position model. The record is from RNAcentral. Lineage: Eukaryota; Fungi; Glomeromycota.